This is an RNA transcript of Tarenaya hassleriana, 1501 nucleotides long. It is a transcript of the gene named LAG1 longevity assurance homolog 3-like, with no coding region annotated. NCBI's taxonomy places the organism in Eukaryota, Viridiplantae, Streptophyta, Magnoliopsida, Brassicales, Cleomaceae. The transcript is spliced from 7 exons. The record is from RefSeq and is a predicted model, not a curated record.
ACGACCAGAUCGUGGAUUACUGGUUAUUGGUCGGUACGAAUCAGAGGAAUUGGAGUAGUCCUACUUGGAGGAUUGGACUUUCUCUGAUCCACGCUUGCCUCUGGUCUUCUCGAGAAAAAGGGGAUCCCUUUUGUGUUCCUCAGGUAGACGACGGAGGCCGAGGUACUUGCAAAAUUCUCGCUGGAUUUGAUUUUCUGUUUGUUUCUCGGGAAUAUCGUCUAGGUUCGGUACUGGUGAGGAGAAGAUCCGUAAUGGGUAUCGUCGAAUUGUUGAAGACGGUGAACUGGGAGGUAGAAUCGUACCCGACUUACCACGAUUUCAGGGUUCUUCCUCUCUUCGCGAUUUUCUUCCCCUCUGUCCGGUUUCUCCUCGACAGACUCGUUUUCGAGAAAUUGGCAAAAAUUCUGAUCUAUGGAAAACAGCAGAAUAUGGGGGAUGACAUAAACGAGAGGAGGAAGAAAAUCCGAAAGUUCAAAGAGUCAGCAUGGAAGUGUGUUUACUACCUGUCAGCCGAGAUUCUUGCUCUAUCUGUGACUUUUAAUGAACCUUGGUUUAGGGAAACUCGAUACUUCUGGGUAGGCCCGGGAGAUCAGGUGUGGCCUGAUCAACAAAUGAAGGUAAAGUUGAAGUUUUUGUACAUGUUUGGUGCUGGGUUCUAUACAUACUCCAUAUUUGCUCUGAUAUUCUGGGAAACGAGGCGUUCUGACUUUGGAGUUUCCAUGGGUCAUCACAUCGCUACACUUAUUCUUAUCUUGCUCUCCUAUGUAUGUAGAUUCUCUCGAGUUGGUUCUGUUGUGUUGGCACUUCAUGAUGCCAGUGACGUGUUCCUGGAAGUCGGGAAGAUGUCCAAAUACAGCGGAGCUGAAACUAUUGCAAGCUUUUCAUUUAUUCUUUUCGUGUUGUCUUGGAUCAUACUUCGCCUCAUCUACUAUCCUUUCUGGGUCCUUUGGAGCACAAGCUAUGAAGUUACUUUGACGCUUGACAAGGAAAAGCACCCGGUUGAGGGACCAAUCUACUACUACAUGUUCAACACUCUUCUGUUUUGUUUGCUCGUCCUUCACGUUUAUUGGUGGGUCUUGAUAUUCAGAAUGCUUGUGAAACAAGUGCAGGCCAGAGGCAAGCUUAGUGAAGAUGUCAGAUCCGAUUCUGAAGAUGAAGAUGAGCAUGAAGAUUGAUAUCGAAGAUGUGUGUAACCUGCUAUACACUCAAUGGUGAACAUUCAUCAUUAUACUCAUUUGGACAGAGAGAGAGAGAGAAACGACUCGUCAGCCUUAGACAAGCACUUGAGUCAUCUCCCACAAGGGAUUGUAAGUUCCAUUAUGGAUCAGAUGAAGCCUUUUUGAUGGGUAGAAGAACUCUCUGGACAAAAGAAAAGUUUUUUUUUUAUCAUCAUCAUUUCCAGGAUUUGGAUCUUUUUUCUCGAUUGGGAUUGUGUCUGUUCAUUUUGUAGUUUGAUGGAUUCAAGAUUGUGAUUAAGACUGUUCAUUUGCUCCAUUUCUGA